UACGAAGGGAUCUAGCGUUGUUCGGAAUUACUGGGCGUAAAGGGCGUGUAGGCGGCUUGGCAAGUCAGAAGUGAAAGCCCAAGGCUCAACCUUGGAACUGCUUUUGAUACUGCUUUGCUUGAGGAUAGGAGAGGUCAGUGGAAUUCCCAGUGUAGAGGUGAAAUUCGUAGAUAUUGGGAGGAACACCAGUGGCGAAGGCGACUGACUGGACUAUUUCUGACGCUGAGGCGCGAAAGUGUGGGGAUCAAACAGG
This 253-nucleotide ribosomal RNA is filed under the name uncultured bacterium. Its description in RNAcentral is "partial 16S ribosomal RNA". It matches the Rfam family "Bacterial small subunit ribosomal RNA", at positions 524 to 776 of the family's 1533-position model. The record is from RNAcentral.